Non-coding RNA from Cinara cedri, 214 nucleotides. The record is from the annotation of a GenBank genome assembly. NCBI's taxonomy places the organism in Eukaryota, Metazoa, Arthropoda, Insecta, Hemiptera, Aphididae.
CAUGGAAAAUCAAAAAUGACCUUCUUAAAGUACCAAGUAAAUUAAAUCGCCUUUCAAAAAAGUGCUACACUGGAUACAUAGGAGCAAGAUAUCUGAUUAUUGUUAUUCAGAUAAAAAAAAAUUUAUGUUACACCAAUACGUUCCAAAUCUAGAAAAAACAGAAUUAAGUAAUAAUAUUAGAAGCAAAAAACAUACAUAACUAACAUAAUCAGAU